GGUGGUAUCGGCUAACGGUUAGGCCACAAGAUUCUCAAUCUUGCAAUCUGGGUUCGAUUCCCAGUACCACUA
This 72-nucleotide transfer RNA is filed under the name Bacteroidales bacterium. RNAcentral's name for it is "tRNA-Glu". It matches the Rfam family "tRNA". Rfam says of the family: Transfer RNA (tRNA) molecules are approximately 80 nucleotides in length. Their secondary structure includes four short double-helical elements and three loops (D, anti-codon, and T loops). RNAcentral also lists the same sequence under 2 other names. The record is from RNAcentral. Lineage: Bacteria; Pseudomonadati; Bacteroidota; Bacteroidia; Bacteroidales.